AUUGAACGCUGGCGGCAGGCUUAACACAUGCAAGUCGAGCGGAGUGAUGGUGCUUGCACUAUCACUUAGCGGCGGACGGGUGAGUAAUGCUUAGGAAUCUGCCUAUUAGUGGGGGACAACAUCUCGAAAGGGAUGCUAAUACCGCAUACGUCCUACGGGAGAAAGCAGGGGAUCACUUGUGACCUUGCGCUAAUAGAUGAGCCUAAGUCGGAUUAGCUAGUUGGUGGGGUAAAGGCCUACCAAGGCGACGAUCUGUAGCGGGUCUGAGAGGAUGAUCCGCCACACUGGGACUGAGACACGGCCCAGACUCCUACGGGAGGCAGCAGUGGGGAAUAUUGGACAAUGGAGGGAACCCUGAUCCAGCCAUGCCGCGUGUGUGAAGAAGGCCUUAUGGUUGUAAAGCACUGUAAGCGAGGAGGAGGCUCUUUUGGUUAAUACCCAAGAUGAGUGGACGUUACUCGCAGAAUAAGCACCGGCUAACUCUGUGCCAGCCGCCGCCGUAA
Molecule: ribosomal RNA, 503 nt
Filed under: uncultured bacterium
Lineage: Bacteria
Description: partial 16S ribosomal RNA
Rfam family: Bacterial small subunit ribosomal RNA
Source: RNAcentral